GAUGAAGAACGUAGUGAAAUGCGAUAAGUAAUGUGAAUUGCAGAAUUCAGUGAAUCAUCGAAUCUUUGAACGCACCUUGCGCUCCUUGGUAUUCCUUGGAGCAUGCCUGUUUGAGUAUCAUGAAAUCUUCAAAGUCAAACCUUUUGUUAAUUCAAUUGGUUCUGCUUUGGUAUUGGAGGAUUAUUGCAGCUUCACACCUGCUCCUCUUUGUGCAUUAGCUGGAUCUCAGUGUUAUGCUUGGUUCCACUCAGCGUGAUAAGUUAUCUAUCGCUGAGGACACCCUGUUAAAAAGGGGUGGCCAAGGUAAAUGCAGAUGAACCGCUUCUAAUAGUCCAUUGACUUGGACAAUAUCUAAUUUAUGAUCUGAUCUCAAAUCAGGUAGGACUACCCGCUGAACUUAAGCAUAUCAAUAAGCGGAGGA
Molecule: unclassified non-coding RNA, 421 nt
Filed under: soil metagenome
Description: partial contains 5.8S ribosomal RNA, internal transcribed spacer 2, and large subunit ribosomal RNA
Rfam family: 5.8S ribosomal RNA (bases 1-120)
Source: RNAcentral